ACUAUAUUAAUUUAUAAGAUUAUGUAACUCCUUACUAAGUGGUUUACUAUAACAUUACGGUAAAUAUCCUCAUGUGUUAUAGUAACUCAACUAUCGUAAAUAUGGAUACAUAUUAUCGUAAAUUAGUAUAAUA
Molecule: microRNA precursor, 133 nt
Filed under: Sorghum bicolor (sorghum)
Lineage: Eukaryota; Viridiplantae; Streptophyta; Magnoliopsida; Poales; Poaceae
Description: MIR6217 microRNA precursor family
Rfam family: MIR6217 microRNA precursor family
Source: Rfam by way of RNAcentral